This 3960-nucleotide unclassified non-coding RNA is filed under the name Hevea brasiliensis (rubber tree). The record is from RNAcentral. Lineage: Eukaryota; Viridiplantae; Streptophyta; Magnoliopsida; Malpighiales; Euphorbiaceae.
UGUGUUUUUACUUUUGUUUUUCUUUUCCAUCGUACAUUAGAACUUUAUCAUUUCUUUAGUUACUAACAAAAGUAAAAUUCAUUUUAUAGAAAAUAAAGUUACCACAAAAAAUUGUUUCAAUAAAAAUGUUACACAAGAUUUUAAAAUAGCAAACAGGAGCAGGAGCAGGUGGUGAUAAAACAAUUCCAUUCUUAUUCAAGCUUCAAAAUUCCACAUCAAAUUUCAGACUGCUCAAAUAUUCUGGUUUAUAUACAUAUUCCACACCGCCCUAAACCACACGGCCUAGAAUCUGCAAAAUUGUUAAACAUUUCAUAUCGAAGCAAACUACUUUUAGAGCUAUUGGAGUACCCUAUCUACAACAUAGCCUUCUUACAACCCUUAGCAAGUCCCUUUCUGCUCCUCUUUAAACCUUGCUUGCCAUCCUUCCCAGUUAGUUCUGAAUUGUUGUCGUCAUCACCUUCUGAUGUGUGUGCUGCAUCAUCUUCAACAUCUCCACGACCAUAUCCAGACCUUUUCGCACUCACUGUAAUCACGCCACAUUCAACCUUUUGCUCAGGGGUUUCACACGAUCGCUCGAAAGGUUCCAUAUAACAAAACCAUUCUAGAGGUAAAUUCUUGCUGUCAAAUCCAUAACUCAGCAUCCUCCACUUUCUACACUUAUCACACUGAACCCAUUCAUGAUCAGGCUUGUACAGGACGCCACCCUUUUUCAGCUGCACUCUAUCAAAAUUCUUAUCCCAAUAUUCAUCAGCCUUCUUCCCCAGCCACUCCUCUAGUUGUGCAUAUGAUUCACAAUCCUGAAAACCCUGUUUGUUACUAUGCACCCAAGCACGACCAUUCUCAUCAUCCAUUAGAUCAGUAACAUCUAUAACCCCAAUAACACCUCGUCCCACCUCUCCGCUAUGUACCAUACUACCAACUCUUUUGUAAGCCUAAAUAAAAGAGAAAAAAAGCAUAAAAUUAGAGAUCGACACGUGAUCUUAUUUUACAAGAGUAAAAGGAGCACAAGAGCCCAAGUUCAUAAUUAUGAUAGAAAAAGAAUCCAAUCUAAAUGAAGGAAAAGAAAAGGCAACCAUAAUCCUAAACAUUAUGAACAAAGGAUGUAAAACAUUUAUUACUACCUCACAAUUUCCUAUAUGCAUUUUAUUCCACAGUCAUGCGUCCUCUGUAAAUUUAAAUUCAUGGCAUCAGAACAUGUGGCAUUAAAUUAAAAUUCCAAAAUUAAGCAUAUUCUCACAAUCCACUUCCCAUUUGCUCCACCCUUUCAGCUUUCAAUCAUACAUGCUAUUUGGUUCACCUUCUUUUAGGGAAGGUGAAAGUAGCACUCAUUUGAAUUUGAAUUUAGAGAGGGGUCAUUUAAGAUGGUUUGAAGAAAGGAAACUCCCUUGAAAGCAAAUAUUCAGCUCAUAUAAAAGACAAUGUUGCCGUAGAUUUAAAAGAUCUGGCUGAGAUUAUAGCUAAUUCCAUGCAUCACUUUAUUAGUAGCUUUGAUUUGAUACAAAACACUUGGAAGUCUAAAAGAAUUAAAAAUUUUAACAAACUAAUAAACGGGCAUGGAAACUCUCCUCGGGACAAGAUUCUUAGGAACAAAUGCACAGAAGAAAAAAUUGAAUCAAGCAAGAAGCAUAAACCACUUUUUAAAUGACCUAAUUAUGAUAAACUAGAAUAAACAUCAAAAAGAUAUUGGAAACUACAAAUCAACACCAACAUUCACAGGUAAAAUCAUAUCAUAAAGCAGAAUCUGGCCUCAAUUAAGCGGCCAUGCCAAUACAAAAACAUUCCGCAAUUUGCCUGCUCCCACUCUAAUUGACUGCGACCAAGAGUUAAGUGAACAUGUUUCCCCAUGAUGAUACCAGUUUCUUCACGAGUAUUAUUCAAAGACUUUGCCAAUGGUUGACUUUUAACCAAUGAACCUUGAACAUAUAUCCUCAUCCGUGGAACUAAAAAGAUGACUUCUAGGUAAGAUCUAAGUGAAUAAUCUAAGGGCACCUUUUGACUCAUCUGGCCAGGGCGAGAUCUAACCCUUCUAGAACGGAUUAGUAUGUCACCUUGAUGAAAGGAGCUCCCACCAGUCAGUCCAGCGGUCCAGUCCAGGCAAUAAUUUGAGCCCCAUUCAUCUAAGUUCCAUAUGUAUAUUUGUGUUCCUGUGCUUUUUUCACGGAACAAGGCUGCUUUUUCACCAAUCAAAUACUUAUCAAAUGGUGAAAAUUCCUUAAUAGAUUUCAGGUUGUACUUUGCUAAGGCUUCAGACUGGACAUUUGUAUCUACUUCCAUAAACUGUCCUUUUCUGCAGUAGCUUACAAUGGGAAUCUCUAGAUUAUCUUUUCCUUCACUUAGGGAUUGCGAGAGAAAGGCUAUAGAUCUGGAAUCAGCAGUCUGAGUGAGAACAAAAGCAUCCCUGCCAAGCCUCAUUGCUCCAGUCUUAAAUCCAACACCAAAUCUUCCUAUACGAUCCAGAUCAUCCGCAUCAGAUUGCUUGUGCCCAAAACACAUCAUCCUCACAACCCCCUCAUGGGUCAUCCCACAGCCAUCAUCAAUAACUGACAACAUAGGAAUAUUUUUUCCAGCUCUUUUUGAGUAUAUGAUCUCAACAGAAAUAUCCAGCCUGCUUGCUUUUGCAUCCCUAGAAUUAUCAACAAGCUCAGCUACAGCACCAAAAAUCCAUCCAGAAUGUGCUUGACCAAGAGUUUGCAGGUAACUUGAAUCAGCCUGCACAUAAUUUUUCUUCAAUAGUCCAUCCCGAUUCACGGCACAAGGCUGACAUCUGCCUGUUGGCACACAACCAUGGUGAUCACCAAUUGAAUGUGGAAACUUGACACAAGGCAUGCCAUUGUCUUCACUGAUACCCACACCCCUUGAAUCCGUAUGCCCAUCUUUCUUACCAGCCAACUCCUCAACAUCAUGAGAAGGUGACAUGGUGCUACUAUUACCACAAAUUUCAGUUGGAUCUACACUUUGCCGCUUCCAUUGGCAUGCUUCAUCCGUAUCAACAACUGAUUCACAACGCUUUUGACUGCUAUACUUCUUUUCCCGAUAUGCAACUCUAACACAGCUAAAAUUAUAGGCUUCAUCAGGAGGAAGUAUAUAGAACUCACAGAAAUCAAAUUUUACAAUUCCAACCAAGUCUCUUUUCUGAAGAUGACACAAAAACCUCCCCCACUCAUAAUGGUCCCGAGAACACUCAGCAGCAGGGCGUAAAAAGCAAUGAUGUAGAUCACGAUGGAUAUUUACCACAGAUCUUGGGAGAAUUUCAUGCAAAUUCCAGCGUGGAGGCAUAUUUGCAGGAGGAUUUGAGCACUGUGUCCUACAUAUGAUUUUCUCAUCCUUCAUCAGCAACACAAAGUGCUUGUAAUUAUCUUCACUCGGAUCUUUUUCUGAUUUCGAAGGCUUCAACGGUCGAUCUCCCAUUUGAAAACCGUAAAGAAUCGGUUUUAAUUCCCAUUCUGAGCACUGAAACAAAUGCCUUAAGACAGAGCCGAGAACUACUAAACAAGCAUGCAAUCUCAUGAGUAAAAAAUCCAACUUCGGAAGAAAACUGCAAUGCUAGACCACCUCUCUCUCUGGAGUAAUAAUAAAAUAAUAGAAACAACAACAAUAACAUGCUAAGACCUCGUUGAAACCUCGAGUAAGAAAUUCCAAAACAGAUGCCAGUCACAAAGACAAAAGAGACCUUGAGAAAGCCUAGUAGAAACUAGGGCAAAUUGAGACCAGCGGUAGUGCAGAAGUAGAAAAAGAAAUAGAAAGGCGCAAAAUGUGAAACUUAAAAGUACAUUUCUUUUAUAUAUUAGAAUAACGAAGAUUGGAAAAUAUGACGAAGGAGAGUUUGUGGCGUGCCGUACGAUGGCGAUCGAAACGGUAGUGGUGGUGGUGGUUGUGGAGGAGGAGCACUGACAGUACGGACGAUGGUGUAUUAGUUGCUGUGACUCGUCCGUUUCGGGAGAAAUAGAGAGAGGAAACGAU